Molecule: long non-coding RNA, 1009 nt
Organism: Lineus longissimus
Lineage: Eukaryota; Metazoa; Nemertea; Pilidiophora; Heteronemertea; Lineidae
Exons: 3
Source: RefSeq, a predicted model, not a curated record
UUUCUACGGAAUUCGUGGCAGUCGUCUCAUUCCUCUCGGCGCAGCGAGACAAGCUGGUCACAAAUAGAGCUCAGACGGAACGGAUUCGGUAUUGGAAUUUCAGUCUCUACCGGCGGCGCGUGCUACGCAACUUGAAUACAAGCUACCAUUUCCAUUCAUAAGAAUACCACAUCCACUUUGACUUUGAAAUAAUGUGAUUGUCGCUGCAAGCGGAGAACACCGCCUUUGACUUUCGUAGGAUUGGAUCAGUGAUUCCGUUGAGAACUGAUUGAUGCAUCAUCAGGAUUCGAAGCACGAAAACCCACAAUUAUUGUUGACUUAUCGAAUCUGGUUCCUCGGUUUACGUCAAUCUCACAGGAAUAAAGGGACAUAUUGAUUAGUCCUGUGAAUCACUAAUGAUGUUUCGCGUGACAUUUGUCGUCUGCCUGCUAAUCUCGUCGAUUCUCGUCUCGUGCGAGACGCAGGAAAUGGAUGAGGAAGCGUGCAUGACGGUUAAUCUGCGCGCUAGGAGCGAUUGUAGAUACGACCAGGACGUGUGUGACAGUUACUGCGGUCCGUGGAAGGAGGACCCGAAGGCGUGUCGCGAUGACUGUUAUAUUAAAUACCUAGUUUGUAUCGGAUGCCGAAGCGAGAAGUAGGGCUAUAUAUAGACAUUCCGGAGCUUUACUCAUGUCUCAGUCACCAGUUUUUCCAUAGAGUGACCAGCACAGACGCUGUUUAGUAGAAGAGUAGAACCUCUCUAUAAGGGAUAACCUUGGCACGGACGUGCCUGUGUCUUGAUGAAAUGGAUUUGACCAAUUCUUGGCUGAAAUCGGUGUCCUUCUUAGUGAUGGUGUCCUGCUUAUUGAGAUGUCCGCUAAGGGAGGUUCCAUUGCAAAACUCAUAUUUGGAGGACAGAACGGACGACUAUAAGUCCGUGUUCAUAGAUAUGUAGUUUAUAUUGAAUGUAAGAGGAGAAAAUGAGCUUUGUAUCUGGAAAUAGAGGUAUUUGUAUCAUCAUGUAUUCUUA